Molecule: unclassified non-coding RNA, 1678 nt
Filed under: Hevea brasiliensis (rubber tree)
Lineage: Eukaryota; Viridiplantae; Streptophyta; Magnoliopsida; Malpighiales; Euphorbiaceae
Source: RNAcentral
CCUGGAUCAAACACAGUAAUUGUUCUCAAGUAAGAAAUUAUAUAUGGGGCCACAACCUACAUUUUUUAAGAACACCUAUUGAUACAACUGUUGUAUUCUAAAAUCUCUCCAUGUAAUGAUACAACAAACAAACAUGUACGGUGCAGAGCAACCGUGCUUUAACAUCAUGAGGGAGAGACCUGUUAUCGCAAGCUCUGUAUAACUUCAAGUAUAAUGUACGCAUGCCAACUGGCCAGGUCAGAAUUGCCACAAAAAAAUUCAUCAUUUGUCCAUCAUUCAUCUACAACUCAAUCACCAUGAGCGCUGGUAGUUUUCUUUUCACUCACAACAAAAGGCUAAAAACAUGCAAUACAAUGCAAGUUUAUUAGGGAAGAGGUUUCAGUCAUUAACCCAGUGAUAAUAUAUUUUCCUCAUAGCCAGUGACUGUAACAGCAUUUCGAGAUACAUCAAGAGAAUCAUAUUCUGGAAGCCCACGAAUUUUCACCCUUCGAAGACUGGAUCUUUCUAAAUCAUAAUAAAACACAUAAAAGGGAUUGGAUAAGAAGCAUGGUGCCAGUAGGAUCUCCCCUGUAGCAAUGGUGCCUGCAACCAAAUAGUUUUGAUUCUUUUUCCUCCAAUAAGUGGGGAAGACGAUAUGGUGCAGGAUCCAAAUCUCAUUCCAGUAGUCCUCCAGAAUCCAUAGACUUAACUGGUUCUGGGAAUCCAGUUGAAAAUUAACUAUAGCCAAACGCCCUGCUAACUGGAUCAAACAAGAUGUGUUCACGUCAUUUGGGGCGUCACUGGGGAGUUGGAUCACUCGAAAAGUUUCGUUUUGCACAUCGAAAGCAACCAUAUCUGCAAGGGUCCGGAAAUAUAUGAUCCCAUUCACGCAAAUGCUUUCCCGUCGAGGAGAGUAAGGAGGACCGUCGGGGAGAAGCCGCCAUGAUUGAGUACCCAAUGAGAAAACUCGAUAUUCAGUCUUGCCCGUUUGGUAAUUCCGCCAUGAAUUUAAAACUUUGUACUGCUUAGAAACUGGGUCGAACCCUAAUGAGUUAACGCAAUAGUAGGUAGAAGAAGCAGCCUUUGAUGUCUUUGAACAAACAAGUGGUAGAGUAAUCGCCUGCCUAGUACUGGGAUUGCAAAGGGUAGCGCAAAGGCCAAAAUCCAUACAAACUAUGCCAUUAAUUGACUGGGUAGUGUAGCGAGAGUACCGAGGAGGGACCGUCAGGCAGUGAGUAGCGGGGCCACCGUUGAGGUUGGCGGAGAAGAAGGUCUGGGCUGAUUGAAGCUGAGUAGGACAGGUGAUGAGAAGGCCCGGUUUCGGCCGGGGAUAAGGUUGAUGAGCAGCGGCGAAAGAUGGGUCGGCAACGAUGGUGGAGCAGAGCUUGUUAACGCACCGGAAUCGCACCAGGGAUUUCACGGGAAGCCUUGAAAAUAUGUCGAAGAUGAGAUCGGGACAGAUUUUGGUUAUGGGUGUGGGAUUUGAGUUUCUUACAAUUGUAUGCUUUCUUCUUUUGGCGGAUCUCUGUUGCGCGGAGCACUUGAAGGGUUUGGAUUCCAUUUCUGAAACUUAGAAUUGGGUUUGAGAAGAAGAGAUUGGAUCCAGAGGAAUUAAUGGGUUAAUUCUGUUCUUAUCGUUUCUAUGGAAUUGGAAGAACCAAAUCUGAUGAAUUCAGUUCUUGAGCACCCGCCGGCGGCG